UGCUUUGCUAUUUCCUUCCGCCGAGCAGCAGCGUCGUCGUUCGGAUAAACGAAUUGUACGCUGUAGUAGAGGUCAGGUUGCUCUU
RNAcentral lists this small RNA (85 nucleotides) under Rhizobium mongolense. RNAcentral describes it as "sRNA Atu_Ti3". It matches the Rfam family "Rhizobiales sRNA Atu_Ti3". RNAcentral also lists the same sequence under 1 other name. Lineage: Bacteria; Pseudomonadati; Pseudomonadota; Alphaproteobacteria; Hyphomicrobiales; Rhizobiaceae. The record is from RNAcentral.